GGAUUGUGGCUCAGUGGUAGAGCGCUUGCCUCGCACUUAUGAGAUACUGGGAUUGAUCCUUAGCACCA
This 68-nucleotide transfer RNA is filed under the name Marmota monax (woodchuck). RNAcentral's name for it is "tRNA.Ala". The record is from RNAcentral. Lineage: Eukaryota; Metazoa; Chordata; Mammalia; Rodentia; Sciuridae.